AAAUGAAUAGACGGGGCCCCGCACAAGCGGUGGAGCAUGUGGUUUAAUUCGAUGCAACGCGAAGAACCUUACCUAGGUUUGACAUGCAUCUGACUGGUGUGGAAACACACCUUCUCUUCGGAGCGGAUGCACAGGUGCUGCAUGGCUGUCGUCAGCUCGUGUCGUGAGAUGUUGGGUUAAGUCCCGCAACGAGCGCAACCCUUGUCCCUAGUUGCUAACAGGUAAAGCUGAGCACUCUAUGGAGACCGCCGUCGACAAGACGGAGGAAGGUGGGGAUGACGUCAAGUCCUCAUGGUCCUUACGCCUAGGGCUACACACGUGCUACAAUGGACAGUACAAAGGGUCGCAAUGCCGCGAGGUGGAGCCAAUCCCAAAAAGCUGUCCUCAGUUCGGAUUGCAGUCUGCAACUCGACUGCAUGAAGGUGGAAUCGCUAGUAAUCGCUGAUCAGCAGGCAGCGGUGAAUAUGUUCCCGGGGCUUGUACACACCGCCCGU
This 494-nucleotide ribosomal RNA is filed under the name uncultured bacterium. Its description in RNAcentral is "bacterial SSU rRNA". It matches the Rfam family "Bacterial small subunit ribosomal RNA", at positions 903 to 1397 of the family's 1533-position model. The record is from RNAcentral.